UAGCGGCGAGUGAAGCGGCAAAAGCUCAAAUUUGAAAUCUGGCGUAUUCUACGUCCGAGUUGUAAUUUGAAGAAGGUAACUUUGGGGUUGGCUCUUGUCUAUGUUCCUUGGAACAGGACGUCACAGAGGGUGAGAAUCCCGUGCGAUGAGAAGCCCAAUUCCAUGUAAAGUUCCUUCGAAGAGUCGAGUUGUUUGGGAAUGCAGCUCUAAGUGGGUGGUAAAUUCCAUCUAAAGCUAAAUAUUGGCGAGAGACCGAUAGCGAACAAGUACAGUGAUGGAAAGAUGAAAAGAACUUUGAAAAGAGAGUGAAAAAGUACGUGAAAUUGUUGAAAGGGAAGGGUUUGAGAUCAGACUUGGUAUUUUGUAUGUCUUGCUCUCGGGCGGGGCCUCUGCAGUUUACUGGGCCAGCAUCGGUUUGGAUGGUAGGACAAUCGCGGAGAAAUGUGGCACCACCUCGGUGGUGUGUUAUAGUCUUUGUGGAUACUGCCUGUCUAGACCGAGGACUGCGUCUUUU
This 514-nucleotide ribosomal RNA is filed under the name [Candida] sp. NY7122. Its description in RNAcentral is "eukaryotic LSU rRNA". It matches the Rfam family "Eukaryotic large subunit ribosomal RNA", at positions 84 to 604 of the family's 3401-position model. The record is from RNAcentral. Lineage: Eukaryota; Fungi; Ascomycota; Saccharomycetes; Saccharomycetales.